AUCUUGGUGUAUUGAGAUUCAGGGCUGAACAGAUGAAAUGUUCUGAUAAAAAAGGACCCAAGGACGGGAGAGAUGUUUCUGCUUCUCAUUAAUGUUUCGCUCUUACUUGAAGUACCUUUUUGGUUGCUUUUACUUUUUCAAAGUAAAUUUUCAAAUUAUCAAACUAUCUUUGUCUUGAUAAUUUGAAGACCUAAUUAAUUAUUGUACAUUGAACAUAAUGUGUGCAUUGUGAGCACACAUAAAGGAAUGUUAAGGAGAAUUCUAUGUUGUCUAGGCACUGAUACGUAUAGAAGGAAACUGACUUAACCAGGGCCCCCAGGAUCACCUUGGGUCUAGAAGCCAUCACUGCUCCUGGAACUUUGCCCCCGCCUGGCUGAACAGGGUAAUGCCCUGAAGACACACACUGUCCGAAUCCCUACUGAAUGAUGUUGAAAGUGAGAAUUCAGUCAUGGAAUCUGCCUUCCUUGAACACCAAAUGAAGUCUGAAAUGGGAACUGACUUUCCGAGAGCCUAACUCAUGGAGAAUACAGAGGCACAAUCCUUCUAGGUAUUAGUAUUAGUUCAGUGGGGAUAAGGAUAUUUGGAAAGACCCUGAAGGACCACUCAGGGCCGGCUGGUAUAGAUGAGCUAGAUAGUACAUAUUAGUCAGUAUUUGAAUGCAUUUAGCAAGGAGACCAGUAAGAAUGACAAAAAAUAUUAAAAAUGCCACACUGACUGCUUCCUGAUGGCCACUGGCACCACCCUCACCAUUGCCGAGGAUACUGUACGCUAAUCAUGAAGAAGUUACAGAGUCAUGAGUCUGUUUCUCUGAAGGAGGUACAAGAGGAUUCAUCCAGCCAGUUGUGACUCUCAGCACUGCCUACUGUCAAGGAGAAGAAGGGGCAUGGUGCUGGGUACCUACAGGCACCAGAACAUUCCUGAGGACUCACACCACAGGGAAAGAAAACCUGGAAAUGUCAGAGCUGAUGAAGAGCAAUUAGGAAUGAAAAUACAAUCCAUUGAAUCAGAUAAGAAACAAACUCAGCAGGAUGCUUCUUGUUGCUGUUAUUCCAUUCAUAAGAAAAUGUCAUCCACUCAAAAUCAUUUGAUUUUCUGCAGCAAAUUCCUUGAUACAAAAAAGAUCCUGGGGUUUAUAUAGGGCAUUACCACAUUUAGUGAAAAAUUCACCCAUUUUUUUCCGCCAUAAAUGUGUAAUUUUUAGAUCAAUUUAGAUCAAGGAAGCUAUUCUCUGAUAUAAUAAAGAGAAAAGAAUCUUGAACCUGGUUAAGAGUGGUCUCAAGCCAAAACAGAUAAUUUCUACAGAACGCAAUAAAUACUCUUUGGUUCUGUGUGGUGAUAUUGCCUCCCAGACAUUUUAAGGCUUAACACCUAAAGAAUGGGUUGAUUUUAAAUUAAUAAAUGAAUAGAAAAGGAAUAAAAUCUUCUGUCUUUGUUAAUGUCAGACUUUCCUAACCUUUUUCUAAUCAUCUUAUCAAUAUUUUGUACUUUUUUCCUGUUCCUUUUAAUUCUUUUGGCAUUUACUCAAGGUCUGUCUUUUGGCCUUUUGUUGCUCUGUGUUCUCUCUCUAGGCCUUCUCAACCACUCUCAUCACUUCAACCAUCUUGAAUGUUUUGGAAACCUGUAUUGGGUCCCAACAUUUUCUUGUGGUCCAAAGUGAUAACAACAACAGGCUGAGCAUGGUGGCUCACACCUGUAAUCCCAGCAGUUUGGGAGGCCUAGGUGGGUGGAUCACCUGAGGUCGGGAGUUUGAGAGCAGCCUGGCCAAUGUGGCAAAACCCCAUCUCUACUAAAAAUAAAAAAAUUAGCCAAAUAUGAUGGCAUGCACCUGUAGUCCCACCUACUUGGGAGGCUGAGGCAGGAGGAUUGCUUGAACCUGGAAGGCAGAGGUUGCAGUGAGCUGAGAUCAUGCCACUGCACUCCAGCUGGGGCAACAGAAUAAGACUCCAUCUCAAACAAGACAAAACAAAACAAAACAAAACAAAAAAACUCACUAAGUGAUAACAACAAUAAUGGCAACAUUCAUUGUAUACUUACUAUGUGCUGGGCACUGGGUUAACAAGUGAACAUGCAUAAUCUCAUUUAAUUCUUACAGCCACCUGUAAGAUAGAUGCCAUUAUUGUCUUCGUUUUGCAGGAAAAAAAACUAAAGUUGAGUGAUAUCACACACUUCCCCUAGAGUCAUACAGAUAAUAAACAACUAAACUGGGUUUUAAACCCGGACAGUUUCACUCUAAAGUGAGUGUUUUGUUUUCAGCCACCUGCUAAGCAUCUGCCCUUGAAUCUCCUAUAGGCCUCUUAAAGCCAAUCUACAUAAAACACAUUUCCAAUUAUUCCUGCUUCCCUUUUGGCAAUUAAUUCAUGUGUUCCACAAAUAAGAAUUAAUCAAGCAUCAUGAAGAGUCAGAUGGAAGCCUAUGCACUGAGGAUGAAAUGUUGAACAAAAUAGUAGUGAUUCCUGCAUGUAUAGAGUUUACUUUUUAGAGAGGGGAGACUCUCAUUAAUUACAUUAUUUUGCAAACAGAUAAUUAUUCCAAGCUGGAAUAAGUGCUAAGAUGGGAAAGUAAAAUAUGCUGUGGGAGCAUCUAAUAGGAGACCUGCUUUCUUUGAGGGGAAGAUAGGGAAGGGGGAAUGUGAGAAGGGCUUCCCCUAUAAAUUGCUAUUUAAGUUGAGAUCAAAAAGAUGAGUAGUAGUUAACUAGGCAAGGGAUGACUUCCAGGCAGAGAUUCCAAUACCUACAAAGGCCCUGAGAUGAGAGGGAGCUUAGCAUAUUAGAGAGACUGAGAAAAAAAUUGGUAUAUCUGGGACAGUGGUCAAAGUUACAAGGGUAGCAAGGAUAAGACCAUGUAGGCCCUCCUAAGAUGUGCUAAAUAUUUUCCUCUUGUUCUAAGACCACUGAAAAGUCCUUAGGAGUGUUUAAUUAUUGUAGUAAAGGAAUAAAAUCUAUGUCUUGAAGAUGCCAUUCUGGCUGCUGUUGGGAGGCUGGUUUGGAGGGGGAAGAGUAGAUUCAGGGAAACCAGUGAGGAGGAUAUUUCAUAAUCUCUCUAAGUGAGAGAUUAUGGUCUUAUCUCUCAUUAUUUCUGUUUAAAGAAGGAUUGUAGUCUUGGAGAUAGAGAUGAAAGACAUUCAAAUAUGCCUUUCCAUUCAAAUCAGAAAUCUUGGACUUAUCUCAACUUCAUCCUUUUUCCUACUCAUUUUAUCCAAUUAGACUCCUGUUGAUUUUACCUCAACAUGUCUUGUGUCUUUUCCCCUUUCUUCAUUUUUAUGGCUACUACCUGAG
Long non-coding RNA from Macaca mulatta (Rhesus monkey), 3275 nucleotides. NCBI's taxonomy places the organism in Eukaryota, Metazoa, Chordata, Mammalia, Primates, Cercopithecidae. The record is from Ensembl.